Homo sapiens (human) is the source of this 47-nucleotide non-coding RNA. NCBI's taxonomy places the organism in Eukaryota, Metazoa, Chordata, Mammalia, Primates, Hominidae. The record is from Rfam.
CUACAGGUUGCUUUUGCAACCACUAAGCAAACAUUUUCAAGAGGCUU